This 501-nucleotide long non-coding RNA is filed under the name Cricetulus griseus (Chinese hamster). Its description in RNAcentral is "lncRNA (ENSCGRG00015042340.1)". The record is from RNAcentral. Lineage: Eukaryota; Metazoa; Chordata; Mammalia; Rodentia; Cricetidae.
GUGGGGUUAUUCCGAAGGAAAAGGGGGCUGUGGAAAAGGGAAGAGUCAAGCCAAGGACUGGAGUCCGGUAACCGUAGGGCAAUAAUUCCUCGCCCCCUCCCCCAACCACACUCUCUUCAAACCCAGCUCCCUCAGAUCAAAAAACGCAAAAGGCUUUGGUGCCCUGCAAUCCUAUCUGCGCCACAAGAGCCGGAACCAGCUCCGCGGAUUACAUUCAUAGAGAAGAGGAAAUACACAGAAACUACCUGAUUGGCUGCAAUUACUGUUUGCCUAAUAUGAGCAGAAUACAAGAGGCAUUCAUCUUAUACGGACAAGAUCUCAUCAGUUGGCAGGCUGUGACUGAAGCUCAACAUCUGUUUAAUUGGCUGAUCCUCACCUGCAACAAGACUAUACCUGCAGCUCCUGCCUCCAAGUUCCUGCCCUGUUUGAGUUCCUGUCCUGACUUCCUUUAAUGAUGAACAGUGAUGUGGAAGUGUAAGCCAAAUAAACCCUUUUCUCCCC